Sarcophilus harrisii (Tasmanian devil) is the source of this 2021-nucleotide RNA transcript. It is a transcript of the gene named YAE1 maturation factor of ABCE1, with no coding region annotated. The transcript is spliced from 4 exons. NCBI's taxonomy places the organism in Eukaryota, Metazoa, Chordata, Mammalia, Dasyuromorphia, Dasyuridae. The record is from RefSeq and is a predicted model, not a curated record.
CUCUGGGACUCGCCCCACGACCGCCGGAAGCAGGGGCGGGCAUUUCCGGAGGCGGGGUCCGGCAUUGGCGGGGUCGCGAUGUCGUGGCUGAGGGCGGCAUGCGCGAGACCCGGGCAGGACGGGAGCGCGGACGCGGACGUAUUCGACGACGAAGCGGACGAGACGCUGCCGGCGCAGCGGGAGUGGCGGAACCGCGUGGAGCGGCGCGUGCGGGAAGGUUACAGAGACGGGGUCGAUGCGGGGAAAGCAGCCGUCCUGCAGCAGGGCUUCAAUCAAGGUUAUAAGGAGGGCGCCAGAGUCAUCCUCCAAUAUGGGCAGCUCCGAGGAACCCUAAGUGCUCUGCUCUCCUGGUGUCACCUGCAGGAUAACGGUUCUCCUUGGAUCGCUCCCCUGAAUGACCUUCUGGACGCUGUGGGCCAGUCUGAAGAGUCUGUGCUCCAGCACCUGACCUCCAUCCCUCCACAGCCCCACGUGGGGGACUUGUUGGACUCCCUCCAGGACAUGGACCUUUGUCCCUCGGUCUCGGUCCAUGAAAAGAUCGAAGAGGAAAGACCCGGGAGGUGCUCUGCCGACCUCAACAAAAACUGCCACCCCAAGGCCGAUCAGCACAGUUGCCCCCAUUCUCCAGACUGCAGAACACAGAGGGGGACAUGUCCCCCAAAGCCUAACUUCUCUUGGAUUUUAGAACAAACUGCCAACAUAGUGCAACAGCUGGGCCUGUCCGUGGACAUCCUGCAGAACAUUGAGCAGCCAGGAAACUAGCUUCAUUUUUUUGUCACAAAUAAUAUUUUAAAAUCCAUUUUAUGGAAUCUAUUUUAUUUUAUCAGCAGUUGGACCAAAAAACUUAUUGAAUUUUACUUUAGUCUAUUCAGCUGUUACCAGUGCACUUGCAGACCAUAAACUGGAGUUGGCAGAAGCUUCUCUCUCUGUGUCCCAGCCCUUCGCACCUGCCCUUAACCCUGCACUGUGUCUGCUGUCUUGCUCAGGCAAGAAUGAGGCAGGAUUCUGAUGGCGGACCCACCGCGGCUUGUAGCUGAGUGAAACUGGGGAAGAUUGUUCUGAGAUUGUGUGUGACUGAGCCCUCUGUGGCCGGUGGUGGACGGGACCUGACCAGUCCCAAGGCCCAGCCCCAGUCAUCCUCCCCUUGUUCGUCCCGGCGGCCGCCCUGGGCUCCUCCCCAAGGGAGUCACCUCCCCAGCAGCAGCAGCCGGCGCCCUUCCCGGUCUCCCCGGGCCCAGAAUCCCGGGGCAGCAAUCGGGGGCCGUCGGUCCGCCCCAGGACUCAAGGCCUGGGAACCAGCAGCGGCCUCCUGGCGUCCUGGGACCCCGGCUGUGGAGGCUUCAGAGCGGGGCUCAGCCUGCUGGUGGUGACGGCCCCUGCCGGGCAAGCAGGAGACGGGCCGGGCCCCUCCUCGGUGCAGGCCCCCCGCCAUAAGGGCCCCUUGGGGGCGGGGCUGUUGUGUCCCCCACGGAGCGGCCGGCGCGCCCCCGGCCUCCAUAAGCGCUUGUUGGCUCUGCGAAUCACCUUCUGCAUCCGAGCCUCUCAGUGAAGUCCCCCGGGGAGCCGGGCUGGGGUUUCCGGAAUCGUUUCUUUGGAGCCUCCUCGGGCUGUUUGCUUGACAGUUUCUUGGAGGGGAGGCUCCCGCCGCAGAGGAGCCCCUGGUGGGGGGGCAGGCGUGGGAAAGGGGGGCAGGGCGUGGGAAAAGGGGGGCAGGGCGUGGGAAAGGGCCACGCGCUCCCGGGAGAGGAGGCGCCCAGGGAAAUGCCCUCGGCUCGUGCCAGGCAAAGGUCAGAAGCGCCGGGGUCCCGCCCCCAGCCUCCCAGCAGGGCCCGUCCCGCCCCCACCAGGUGGCGCCAAAGGACUGGGAGAGCCCUCCCCUCUAUUUCCCUAACCCCCCUCCCUGUGGCCGGCCCCUGAGCGCCAGCAUCAGCGUCACCUGGGCGACACGUUCCUUCCCUCCUCCUUUCUGUCUUCCCUUCCUCCCUCCCUCUCCUUUCUUCUUCUCUUCCUUCCUCCUUUCC